This is a long non-coding RNA of Octopus sinensis (East Asian common octopus), 197 nucleotides long. RefSeq lists it as uncharacterized. The transcript is spliced from 3 exons. The record is from RefSeq and is a predicted model, not a curated record. Lineage: Eukaryota; Metazoa; Mollusca; Cephalopoda; Octopoda; Octopodidae.
UGAAAAGCAAAAAAAUUGAGAGUUUGGUAAUUAGGUUUAUUUCCACCAUGCAACACUUAUGAGAUCAACGUGUAGUCUAUCGAAAGAGUACUCUUUGGUACAUGAGAGCCCCUUUGCUCCAAAAAUCUACCCCCCCUCUCGAGCUCCAAAUGGCCCCCAUUGAGAACCUUUGAUCUAAAGAUUAAUAAAUAAUUUUU